UGGGGAAUAUUGCACAAUGGGCGCAAGCCUGAUGCAGCCAUGCCGCGUGUGUGAAGAAGGCCUUCGGGUUGUAAAGCACUUUCAGCGAGGAGGAAGGUGGUGAGCUUAAUACGCUCAUCAAUUGACGUUACUCGCAGAAGAAGCACCGGCUAACUCCGUGCCAGCAGCCGCGGUAAUACGGAGGGUGCAAGCGUUAAUCGGAAUUACUGGGCGUAAAGCGCACGCAGGCGGUUUGUUAAGUCAGAUGUGAAAUCCCCGGGCUCAACCUGGGAACUGCAUUUGAAACUGGCAAGCUAGAGUCUCGUAGAGGGGGGUAGAAUUCCAGGUGUAGCGGUGAAAUGCGUAGAGAUCUGGAGGAAUACCGGUGGCGAAGGCGGCCCCCUGGACGAAGACUGACGCUCAGGUGCGAAAGCGUGGGGCAGCAAACAGGAUUAGAUACCCUGGUAGUCCACGCUGUAAACGAUGUCGAUUUUGGAGGUUGUGCCCCUUGAGGCGUGGCUUCCGGAGCUAACGCGUUAAAUCGACCGCCUGGGGAGUACGGCCGCAAGGUUAAAACUCAAAUGAAUUGC
Molecule: ribosomal RNA, 569 nt
Filed under: uncultured bacterium
Lineage: Bacteria
Description: partial 16S ribosomal RNA
Rfam family: Bacterial small subunit ribosomal RNA
Source: RNAcentral